Molecule: long non-coding RNA, 1025 nt
Organism: Corticium candelabrum
Lineage: Eukaryota; Metazoa; Porifera; Homoscleromorpha; Homosclerophorida; Plakinidae
Exons: 3
Source: RefSeq, a predicted model, not a curated record
AACAUCUGGGGUUUAAAUUUUCAUAAUCUUAGACACCUUUCACAACAGGUGAGAAAUUGGGGGCCUCUUUGGACUCAUUCUUGCUUCUCGUUUGAAGACAUGAAUGGAUGUAUCAAAAAGUUGUCCCAUGGCACGGGCAAUGUCUUCUGCCAGAUUGCACGGAUGUUGUCCUAUGCAAAAGCAAGUGAAAUGAGUUUCAGUCCAAAACAUCUACCUCCGGCAAAUCUGCCACCAGAAGUUUACCAUUCUCUUCAGAGUACUCAACGUGAGAACUUAUAUUAACUUAACUUAGGCUUCGUGGUUUUGAUCUACAAGCUUGCGUACGAUAUUUCAAUCAGGUUUAGAACGCUCGGACCUGUUACAGAAAUUGACAAAGAAGACACAGUGCUAGCUUUAGCUAGAGAGUUAGGCGUUUCACGGGAAAAUCUACGUGAGUGUUCUACGAUUCAACGCCGGAAUACCGUCUUCUUUGCUAGAACUUACCAAGCUUUUCAGCGAAGGGACCCGACCGUUGUUUCUCUUGAAACAAAUAUGUGCGCCAUAGUGCAGAGGUGGCUUGUUGAUGUCAGCAAAACAAGCUGUACGCAGUUGUAGAGAUGCUGACAAUUGUGAAGAGAGAGCUUCCCCAAGAGGACAGAUAUCCGAUGCUGUUAGCUGUCUGCAAAAAUAGCAAAGCCAGUCAGAGAAUUGUCAGUCUAGAAAAUGUUCACGACAAAAUCGUCUUUAUCAAGACAAGCAGACAUUGCCCCCACAACUUCGUAAUAGGGAGACCAAACUCCUACGAAACUUUUUGAAUAUAUUACAGGGAUCGAGUCACGGGAGCGAUGGCCAAAUUACACGAAACGACAGGGAGUCACACGGAAUCACAAAUAAUUAUAACGAGUUUGUUAAUAUGACUUGGAUGCAUGUUACAAUAAUAAUGGGAAUCACGCAGACUACUCUACAUGUACGAGAGAUUACGCUGAUGAUAUUGUUUGUUUGUGUUUUAUAAUAAUAUAUGAUGUCGGAAGAUGAUAAUGAUGAUG